Molecule: ribosomal RNA, 446 nt
Filed under: uncultured bacterium
Lineage: Bacteria
Description: partial 16S ribosomal RNA
Rfam family: Bacterial small subunit ribosomal RNA
Source: RNAcentral
CCUACGGGUGGCAGCAGUCGAGAAUCAUUCACAAUGGGGGAAACCCUGAUGGUGCGACGCCGCGUGGGGGAAUGAAGGUCUUCGGAUUGUAAACCCCUGUCAUGUGGGAGCAAAUUAAAAAGAUAGUACCACAAGAGGAAGAGACGGCUAACUCUGUGCCAGCAGCCGCGGUAAUACAGAGGUCUCAAGCGUUGUUCGGAAUCACUGGGCGUAAGGCGUGCGUAGGCUGUUUCGUAAGUCGUGUGUGAAAGGCGCGGGCUCAACCCGCGGACGGCCCAUGAUACUGCGAGACUAGAGUAAUGGAGGGGGAACCGGAAUUCUCGGUGUAGCAGUGAAAUGCGUAGAUAUCGAGAGGAACACUCGUGGCGAAGGCGGGUUCCUGGACAUUAACUGACGCUGAGGCACGAAGGCCAGGGGAGCGAAAGGGAUUAGAUACCCCAGUAGUC